This is a long non-coding RNA of Nanorana parkeri, 154 nucleotides long. RefSeq lists it as uncharacterized. The record is from RefSeq and is a predicted model, not a curated record. NCBI's taxonomy places the organism in Eukaryota, Metazoa, Chordata, Amphibia, Anura, Dicroglossidae. The transcript is spliced from 3 exons.
AAUCAUAGCGUGUGAUUGUGGGGGGGAGGGGCAUUAGAGUGUAAGCUCCUCUGUACAGAGACUGAUGUGACUGGGUCAGUGUGCUCUGUACAGCAGUGCGGUAUAGAUAUGACAGAGCUAUAUAAAUUAAUUGUAGUGUGUGAUUGUGGCAGGG